AGAGUUUGAUCCUGGCUCAGAGCGAACGCUGGCGGCAGGCCUAACACAUGCAAGUCGAGCGCCGUAGCAAUACGGAGCGGCAGACGGGAGAGUAACACGUGGGAACGUGCCCUUUGGUUCGGAACAACACAGGAAAACUUGUGCUAAUACCGGAUAAGCCCUUACGGGGAAAGAUUUAUCGCCAAAGGAUCGGCCCCCGCGUCUGAUUAGCUUGUGGGUGAGGUAACGGCUCACCAAGGGCUACCAAUUCAGUAACCGGGUCUGAAGAAGGAUUGAUUCAGCCCUCCACUGGGGGAACCUGAAGAACACCGGGCCCCCAGAAACUCCCCUACCGGGGGAAGGGGCAGCCAGUUGGGGGGAAAAUAUUUUGGAACAAUUGGGGGCGCCAAGCCCUGAAUUCCAGCCCAUGCCCGCGUGGGGUGAUGAAGGCCCUAGG
This 436-nucleotide ribosomal RNA is filed under the name uncultured bacterium. Its description in RNAcentral is "bacterial SSU rRNA". It matches the Rfam family "Bacterial small subunit ribosomal RNA", at positions 8 to 421 of the family's 1533-position model. The record is from RNAcentral.